Long non-coding RNA from Canis lupus familiaris (dog), 671 nucleotides. RefSeq lists it as uncharacterized. The record is from RefSeq and is a predicted model, not a curated record. Lineage: Eukaryota; Metazoa; Chordata; Mammalia; Carnivora; Canidae. The transcript has 3 exons.
GAUAGCUAAGCUCGCUCUUAUAGUUCCCUUGAUAAAUCUCUUUUGGAUUUUCUUAUUAAAGUAAUACUUUAUAUUUUUAGAGAACAACCUACCAUACUUGCAGAACCCAAGUUAAAAGGAAGUUCAAACAUUCUGAAAGCAGAGCACAUUAAAUGAAUGAGGGAGCCUAUUUUUCAAUAAUUCUUUCUCAUCAAAAGAACUAAAUUGAAACAUUCAAUUCACGGAAAUAUUAAUUUUUUUUUCCUUGGGCAGCACAGAGCUGAGCUUUGAUUAGGGAAACAAGUAUAAGUGAGAUAGUCUGAGUCCUCAGAGAUUUGUAAUCUACAUAAACCACUGUUGCUGAGACCAUGCCCAAACCACGCCAAACUGCAAGGCUUCUAUGAGGUCGGCUCUGUGAUCUACAGUGGAGCAGAGGGGAGGCAGAGUGAUGUAAAGACCUGAAACUAUAGUUACCUUCAUGGACAGAAAAAUGGAAUAUCAACCUCAAACGGCAUAAAGGAAAAUUCACUGGAAAGAGGAAAUAUCAGAUGCUUCCAUUGAAGUCUCACCCAACUCCUGGAAAAGUGUCAGUCAAUCUUCUGUGCAUCAUGUCUGUCUGACACCAAAUAUUCAGGUUCUCUACAUAUCAAGGUAUUAGCACAGAGGUAAGAAGUUUAGGUGAAUAUUUUUGA